Daphnia magna is the source of this 82-nucleotide transfer RNA. It matches the Rfam family "tRNA". Rfam says of the family: Transfer RNA (tRNA) molecules are approximately 80 nucleotides in length. Their secondary structure includes four short double-helical elements and three loops (D, anti-codon, and T loops). The record is from Rfam. NCBI's taxonomy places the organism in Eukaryota, Metazoa, Arthropoda, Branchiopoda, Diplostraca, Daphniidae.
GCAGAUGUGGCCGAGUGGUUAAGGCGACUGACAAGAAAUCAGUUUCCCUUCGGGAGCGUAGGUUCGAAUCCUACCAUCUGCG